GCGCCCGUGGUCCAAUGGUUAGGAUUCAUCCCUUCCAUGUGCCCAUAUGCAGAGGACAUCGGUUCGAUGCCCCCCUACAUGAAGCCACGGCCAGUAGAGAGGAUGAGGUUCGAUUCCCGGCGGGCGUA
Salpingoeca rosetta is the source of this 128-nucleotide non-coding RNA. The record is from the annotation of a RefSeq genome assembly. Lineage: Eukaryota; Choanoflagellata; Craspedida; Salpingoecidae.